AUACCGUUCAAGCCUUUUGGCUAUGAUCAAUGUGUAGUAUCUGUUCUUCUUAGUUUGACCACUAAGACUAGUCCACUGGACUAAUAGUGAUCAUUUUAUUUUUAGGACGUUGGCUUGGUGAGUUUAAAAGUCUGCAUGCAGACUCUCACGGGAGCACUGGUGCCUUUAGCCUUGCACUUUAUGCUAAGUGGCGCCGAGCAAAC
Molecule: small nuclear RNA, 203 nt
Filed under: Zancudomyces culisetae
Lineage: Eukaryota; Fungi; Kickxellomycota; Harpellomycetes; Harpellales; Legeriomycetaceae
Description: U2 spliceosomal RNA
Rfam family: U2 spliceosomal RNA
About the family: U2 is a small nuclear RNA (snRNA) component of the spliceosome (involved in pre-mRNA splicing). Complementary binding between U2 snRNA (in an area lying towards the 5' end but 3' to hairpin I) and the branchpoint sequence (BPS) of the intron results the bulging out of an unpaired adenosine, on the BPS, which initiates a nucleophilic attack at the intronic 5' splice site, thus starting the first of two transesterification reactions that mediate splicing.
Source: Rfam by way of RNAcentral